Molecule: non-coding RNA, 113 nt
Organism: Podospora fimiseda
Lineage: Eukaryota; Fungi; Ascomycota; Sordariomycetes; Sordariales; Podosporaceae
Source: the annotation of a GenBank genome assembly
GUCCCCGUAGCGUAGUGGUCAGCGUUUGUGAUGCUUUUCUUCAGCGUGUAUAUUUAUCCAGCAAUUUGAUUCAAGUCUAGCGAAAGACGUCGGUUCAAAUCCGACCGAGGGCA